UUUUUUUUUUUUAUACAAAUUUGGUGCACCUCAAACGCUGCUUACAGACCAGGGUACAGAGUUUCUCAAAAAGCUCGCCAUACCACCUACAAACCAAUGGUCUAGUGGAGAACCUGACAAUUCAAAGGUCCUUAAAUUGGUUGCAGACCAUCCACAUAGAUGGGACGAGGUGCUGUAACUAACAAUGUUUGCCCUGCGGACCAAACGUCAUUUCACAACCAAACAUUCCCCAUAUUAUUCGAUGAUUGCCAGGGAGGCCAGGUAUCCAUCACAGAUACCACCACAAUAUGAGAUCACUGAUCAGAAGAUUGAGAGGCUAAUUUCACAGGAGGUUGUGAGCCGAGGCCUUUCUGAGCAGGAAGGAACCUACCAGGAAGUGUCCUCAGAUAUUCAAGAGUCAUGAAAAGGUUAGGCAGAGGAAAAGGCAACGGGCUGAGGAGGAAAACUUUAAGGUGGGUGACAAAGUUCUUCUAAAGAACAUCAGGCAGGAGCAAAGGGAGGGUGGGAAAAUGAAGGCAGACAUGUUGGGUCCCCUCAUGAUCACUAAAAUUGAGGGCAAGAGUGUGGAGCUCAUAUCGGAGAAGCAAAGCUAAAAAUU
Long non-coding RNA from Cyprinodon tularosa, 598 nucleotides. RefSeq lists it as uncharacterized. The record is from RefSeq and is a predicted model, not a curated record. Lineage: Eukaryota; Metazoa; Chordata; Actinopteri; Cyprinodontiformes; Cyprinodontidae. The transcript is spliced from 4 exons.